CCCGCCUCCGCCCACGGGACAGCCGCCCCCUCCCUGGGGUUUGAUGAGCUGCAGCCCUGGGCCCCAGGGUCAGGCCUGUGCCCUGCAGGCCAUGGGUCUGGAGUGCCUCCCCUGGACGUCGUGUGCCCAGGGGUGGAGCCUGCUAGGAAGUCCAGGUGGAGAGCAGGGGGCGCCUGGCAUGGGGUGAGGAGGCCCAGGGCGUGGAUGUGGGGACACCAGCGCCCACAGGGGAGUCACCUCGCAAGCCGCUCUGCUGCUGGAGAGGAAAGGACAGCCCUGUAGCCAGGCCAGGCCCCGGGUCCACCCAGGGCCACCGGAGCACACUCACGGGGAGGCUCGUGGGCAGAUGUACCCAUCAGUGGCCUCCAGGUCCGCUGAGGGUAGAGUGCCCAAGGCCAGCUGCCCCGGUGGCUGAGCGGGGUGCGUCUUUCCUCAGAUGCCAUCAGCCACCGGGAGGGACAGCACCAGGCAGCCACUCUGGAAGGACCCAUGUGUCCCCGUGAGGUGCAGGGCCUGGUCAGCUGGGCCUGGAGGGAGGAGAGAGAGCCCGGCGAGCCCUGGGGCCCAGGUCCUGUCCGGGUGGCGAGGUGCUCUGGAGGAGAGGCAGGAACGGUCGCGCACAGCUGUGAGUCCACUGAAGCCACCAAACCCGGCACGAAGACGGUGGAACUCAGCCACACAGUGCCACGCCUGUAUCCUCGACCUCAGGAGGCUGAGGCAGGAGGACUGCAAGUUCAAAGCCAGCCUCGAGAAGACCCUGUCUCAAAUAAAAAGAUGUCUCCGUGCCACCCAAUCCUGCCUGCAAGGCCAUCUCUUUCUGGACACUCUCAGUUUCAUUGUAUAGUCUUUUAAUGAAAAGGAACGGGAAGGUA
Molecule: long non-coding RNA, 872 nt
Organism: Marmota monax (woodchuck)
Lineage: Eukaryota; Metazoa; Chordata; Mammalia; Rodentia; Sciuridae
Exons: 2
Source: RefSeq, a predicted model, not a curated record